ACUCAAAUGAAUUGACGGGGGCCCGCACAAGCGGUGGAGUAUGUGGUUUAAUUCGAAGCAACGCGAAGAACCUUACCAGGCCUUGACAUCCCUUGCAGAGGUAUAGAGAUAUAUCCGAGGUUAUCAAGGAGACAGGUGGUGCAUGGUUGUCGUCAGCUCGUGUCGUGAGAUGUUGGGUUAAGUCCCGCAACGAGCGCAACCCUUGUGAUAUGUUACUAACAUUGAGUUGAGGACUCAUAUCAGACUGCCGGUGAUAAACCGGAGGAAGGUGGGGAUGACGUCAAAUCAUCAUGCCCCUUAUGGCCUGGGCUACACACGUACUACAAUGGCGUCUACAAAGAGCGGCAAGCCUGUGAAGGCAAGCGAAUCUCAUAAAGGACGUCUCAGUUCGGAUUGAAGUCUGCAACCCGACUUCAUGAAGCUGGAAUCGCUAGUAAUCGCGAAUCAGCAUGUCGCGGUGAAUACGUUCUCGGGCCUUGUACACACCGCCCGU
RNAcentral lists this ribosomal RNA (493 nucleotides) under uncultured bacterium. RNAcentral describes it as "bacterial SSU rRNA". It matches the Rfam family "Bacterial small subunit ribosomal RNA", at positions 899 to 1397 of the family's 1533-position model. The record is from RNAcentral.